Long non-coding RNA from Cucumis sativus (cucumber), 1298 nucleotides. RefSeq lists it as uncharacterized. The record is from RefSeq and is a predicted model, not a curated record. NCBI's taxonomy places the organism in Eukaryota, Viridiplantae, Streptophyta, Magnoliopsida, Cucurbitales, Cucurbitaceae. The transcript is spliced from 2 exons.
GUAUUAAAGAUAAGACAAUUGACUUCAAAAGAGAGAAGCCAGAAGGAAGCUCAAAGUUCAUUCAUUCCAUUGGUUUUUUAUAUUUUGGGAAGAGGAAUUUUGUGUGUCAAUGGCAUAGUCUUCUUGUUUUACUGUAAAUGUUUUAGAAAAAUGUUUGGUUUGUUCUCCGGUGGGCUCUGUCCCUACAAUCCAUCUCCCUCUCAACUUCUUCCAUAUAAUUUUGUUACUAAAUCAAAAUGCAACCACGUACCAUCUCUUUUUCUACAAAUUCUCUCUACCUAACAUUUUACACAAUCCUUCCAUCUCUCAAAUAAUAUCUGUCCCUUAUUCUUAAACAUUUUCCCCUUUUUGGGCCAAUCUCAUUAUCCCAACACAACAGAACUAACCCCAUCUCCUUUUAUAACCCUAACGAUUUUGUCCAUCUAGUCAUAGUCGAGUCUGAUUCUUUCUAUUUCCACGCCUUGGUAUCGGAUCGUCCAAAAGAUGCAAAAGAUGUGUACCAAUUGUAUCAUGAUUGUCCCGACUUUCGGUUCUUAGUAGAUGGUACUCAGGAAAAUAGCUCGACGCCCCACAACCGUUUCAUGAUCGAAUUGUUAUCGAAGAUCCACAUGGACUCGAAUAUGCUUUUCUUCGUCUUUAUUGGAGCAUUGUUGCACCCGUCAAUUUCUAUACUGUGCCCAUCGGUCAACAUCUAAGUGACAGGGUUCAGGCAAUUUUCUUGCUGUCUAAACACCAAAUUGAGACUAAAAAAUUGGGGGAAUUCAGAAAUAACCAAAAUAGCCCAACUAUUGGAAAUGAAUGAUCAAUCUCCACAUUAUUUGACAUUUAUAGUGACACGAUCUCUGGUUUGGGUAUGUUUUGUCGUGUCAAGAGAAGGAGGAGAAAGUAAAUUAGUUUUCAAAGACGAAGAAGUUUGUUGCUUUACAUUCGCAGCAGAUUGUUGCAACAGACAACUUUGGUAUCCAAUACCUCUAGGGUAUUUUGGCAAUUGCCUUAUGUUAUGUUACGCUAUAGUAAAAAAGAGUGAGCUUUAGGGGGAAAAUGGGAUGGUUCUGGGAAUGAAAGCAAUUGGAAAAAGAGUGAGAGAUAUGGAAAAAGCGGCACUGAAAGACAUAAAUGAGGGGAUGCCCAUUUUGAAGAUUUUGGGAAAUCAAAUCAAAACGUUCAUGUAGCCAAAUGUAAACGAUUGUGUAACUAAAUCUAAAUGAUCUUGGUACAUAAGAUCGUGUGUUGACUAUAACACUUUUCUAUUUUCAAGCUUUUUCAGUGUUCGAAAUUGUUUAAUAGUUUGUUUUAUU